AUUGGGUUAUAGAUCCACCUGCGAGAGGUGGGUAGCCUUAACCGGAUGUGUUAACAGGGAAGCCCGAAGGCUGUUCCCGACCCUGUCAGGGGAGAUGCCAACCAUCUCUCCUUUAAUCGAACACAACGUGACGGAUGUUAACUUUAUAUCAUAUAAAAGAAAUUAAUUGACAAAUUUUUCGAUGUGGGAUGUACCAAAAUAGAACCUUACAUCUCCGGGCUUUCCGCUCCCAUUUCCACUCUCCUGUAAUUCUCUAAUCCCGAACGAAAAUGGCUACAGAUCGAAACGGUGAGCUAUUUACUAAGAGAGGAAGUUCCGAUAACGACGAGACCAGCGAAGGAAGAGGAGAAGAAGAGAACGGUGCUAGGUCAAAGAGAAAUUCCGACAAAGAUCGUGAAAAUUUGAGCUCCAAUUGACGAAAACGCAGGAAAUCAGUUCGGAUUCCGAUGAUAAGCAUGACAAGAAACGUGGAAUGAGUUCAAGAAGAAGGCGCACAUCCCGUAAACGACACGGUAGUAGCGAGAAGGAUUCUGAUUCCGAGGAUACCGAAUUUGAUAGCUUGGAGUAUGAUUUGAAGAGGAGGAGGAAGAGAAACGGAGGAAGGAGAAGAAGGAACGAGGAAAGAAAGGAGCAGUGACGAAUUCGUGCGGAAAGUACAACAUUAUCAAAGAAACUGAUACCUGAUUGCAUACUUUCAAUGGAUUUGAAUUAAUUAAAACCAAAUUAGUUUGUCGAGAAACGCAAGAAGACUUCCAAGACUUGAUCCAGAUAACCCACUUUUGAUGUUUAUGGGACUCAUAUUACUUUCGUAGUGUGCCUAUUCGUUUGAUUGAACAUGAAUGUCUACCAAGGUGGGAAGAAUUUAUGAUCUAACUGCUUUGGUAGCUGUGGUAUUGUUGCUGAUCAUAUUACUUUGAAUAUUACAUUGCUUUUAGGUGAACAUGGGAAGUCUAGCGAAUUGGGAUGAGAAGCUAAGUUUUUGAGCAGUAAGUAGACGAACUGAUCAUGUUUAGUUUGCUCCUCACAGUCGUUACUUGUGAGAUCCCACAUCAGUUGGAGAGGGGAACGAAGCAUUCCUUAUAAGGAUUCAUGGAGGACCUUACACGGCCACUUUUCCAUCCGAAAAAGCAAAAACUACUCAUAGAGCGAACAAGCUCGACUCGGAGAGGAGAUGGCUUACCAGUAUAAGCUUGGAAACUUUGAGGUUGGCAUAAAUGUGAACGAAGUUUUCCUGUAGUUUAAUUUGAUGCAAUCUCGGGCUAGUUCCUCGAGUUUUUGCUACAUCUUAAUUCAGGCUGCAGCUGCCAUCCAGCAAAGAUUGGACCCAGAUAUUGCCCUGUGAGAG
Long non-coding RNA from Cucurbita moschata (crookneck pumpkin), 1345 nucleotides. RefSeq lists it as uncharacterized. NCBI's taxonomy places the organism in Eukaryota, Viridiplantae, Streptophyta, Magnoliopsida, Cucurbitales, Cucurbitaceae. The transcript has 4 exons. The record is from RefSeq and is a predicted model, not a curated record.